Molecule: long non-coding RNA, 1335 nt
Organism: Felis catus (domestic cat)
Lineage: Eukaryota; Metazoa; Chordata; Mammalia; Carnivora; Felidae
Exons: 2
Source: RefSeq, a predicted model, not a curated record
ACCCAGGCAGGGCUCGGAGCACGGGUUCCCCUGCAGAUGGCAGCCCUCGCUUAUCAGCCCCAAGAGCACCGCCACCCUGCGUGCCAAGCGCUGCAGGGCCCUCCCACAUGCUGAUCACUUCACCCUCACAGCCUGUGUUCCAUGAGGAAGCUGAGGCCAGCCACACAGCUGGUAAGGAGCAGAGCUGGGACUUGAACCCCAGCAUGUCUGUCUGACUUCGCCUGCAUGCACAGCAGAGGAGGAGCACAUGGUCACAACCCCCCGGGCUGCGUGGGAGACUGGCCACAAGGCCUGCAGGGACCUUGACGGCACGAUUCUGGGCGCCCUGUUAUUUUGGAAGCACUUCCCAGGCAUCGCAGGCCCGUCUCAGCUGGCUUUGUUAGUGGCAGCUAACAAGCCAGAGGCUGGGAGGCUGGGGAAACUGAGGUAGAAUUUUAACUCGACGCCCCCCCCCCCGCCCUUUUCCCAUCAUGCUCCUGUUGUGUGACCCAUAGCACACUGGGCUUUGCUUUCUUCCUGUUCAUAGCAAUUGGAAUUGACUAUUUGUCCAAUUACCUGUUCAUUUUCCCUUCACUGUGCAUUCACCCGGUGUGUACUUUUGGGCCAGGUAAUAGUCACGUGAGUGACUGCCCCCUGUGGCACUUAUACUCCAGCGGAAAAGGACACACAGUCAUAAGUGAAACCAACAUAGAGUGUCAGCAGGUGGUGAGCGCUCAGAAGCCCUAGGAUGGGGGUCGUGAAGGGCCUUCCGGACGUUCCCGUGACCAGCCACUGAAGUGGUCCUGCCCAGCAUAGCAGGGACCUUGGGACCCUCCACAGGCCCUACAGCCAACUCCUAUUCUGAUUGGCCCAGUGCCCAGGUCACAUAAUAUUCUUUAUUAUCUAAAAAGGAAUAGACUUUAUCUUUAAGCUCAUUUUUAGGUUCACAGCAAAACUGAGCAGAAAGUACAGAGUUCCUGUGCACCCUCUGUUCCCCCUCCAUGCACAGCCUCCCCCCACUGGCAACAUCCCACCCGAAGAGGGGCACAUUUGGUACAGUCGAUGAACCUAGACCGAGGUCAUUAUCAGCCAAAGUCCACGUUCACGUUAGGUUUCGCUCUGCGUAUUGUGUCUUCCACGGGUUUGUUUGGGCAAGCGUAUCCACCGUUACGGUAUCGCGCAGAGUAGUUUCGCAGCCCUGACAGUCCUCUGUGUUCCCCCAUCGCGCUGGUGUUUAAAUACUGGGACUGUUGCUCCCGCUGAGAACAGUGCGUGUGCAGUAAAUGCCCUUGGAAUGAGUGGGAAGGUGUAGGAAUAGGCAAAAGCCCCAAGCUAAGCGGUGGGCGUGGCUUGGAG